This 253-nucleotide ribosomal RNA is filed under the name uncultured bacterium. RNAcentral describes it as "partial 16S ribosomal RNA". It matches the Rfam family "Bacterial small subunit ribosomal RNA", at positions 524 to 776 of the family's 1533-position model. The record is from RNAcentral.
UACAGAGGGUGCGAGCGUUGUCCGGAAUCACUGGGCGUAAAGGGCGCGUAGGCGGCCUGAUAAGUAGGGGGUGAAAUCCUGUGGCUUAACUGCAGGGCUGCCUCCUAGACUGUUAGGCUCGAGCACGGUAGAGGCAGAUGGAAUUCCCGGUGUAGCGGUGGAAUGCGUAGAGAUCGGGAAGAACAUCGGUGGCGAGGGCGGUCUGCUGGGCCGUUGCUGACGCUGAGGCGCGACAGCGUGGGGAGCAAACAGG